CCAGUCAGUCUGCGGCUGUGGCUGCAGAUAAGCUCCUCAUGGAGAAACUGCAAAGAUGCUGUCUGUGAGCAUAGGUGCGACUGUGGACGGCACCCUCCCUUGGUGGGCGGGGCUGGUCUCCAAAAAUGCUUUGGGUUCAUCUUUCAUUGCUGCAAGGAACCUCCAUGCCUCUCACACUCAUCUUCAGAAGACUGGCACUGCCGGGAUGUCAUCUAUUCUUGAAGAGCGUAUUCUUGGAGCCGAUACCUUUGUUGACCUUGAGGAGACUGGGCGUGUCUUAAGUAUUGGUGAGGGUAUUGCCGGAGUACGUGGGCGGAGGAAUGUUCAAGCAGAAGAAAUGGUAGAAUUUUCUUCAGGCUUAAAGAGUAUGUGUCUGAACUUGGAAGUUGACAAUGUUGGUGUUGUUGUGUUUGGAAAUGAUAAGUGAGAUAAGGAAGGAAUUAAGGAAGGAGAUAUUGGGAAGAGGACAGGAGCCAUCGUGGAUGUUCCAGUUGGAGAGGAGCUGUUGGAUCAUGUGGUAGAUGCGCUUGGCAAUACCAUUGAUGGAAAGGGUCCAGUUGGUUCUAAGACCCAGAGAAGAGUUGGCCUGAAAGCCCCUGGAAUCAUUCCUUGAGUCUCUGUGCAGGAACCAAUGCAGACUGGCAUUAAGGCUGUGGAUAGCUUGAUGCCAAUUAGUCGUGGUCAGCGUGAGCUCAUUAUUGGUGACAGACAGACUGGGAAAAUUUCAAUUGCUAUUAGCACAAUCAUUAACCAGAAACGAUUUAAUGAUGGAUCUGGUGAAAAGAAAAAGCUAUAUUGUAACUAUGUUGCUACUGGUCAGAAGAGAUCCACUGUUGCCCAGUUGAAGAGACUUACAGAUGCAGAUGCCAUGAAGUACACCACUGUGGUGUCAGCUACAGCUUCUGAUGCUGCCCUACUGCAGUACCUGGCUCCUUACUCUGGCUGUUCCAUGGGAGAGUAUUUUAGAGAUAAUGGCAAACAUGCUUUGAUUAUCUAUGACGACUUAUCUAAACAGGCUGCUGCUUGCCGUCAGAUGUCUCUGUUGCUCUGCUGACCUCCUGAUCAUGAGGCCUAUUCUACACGAUCGUGAUGUAUUCUCCCUACACUCCCAGUUGCUGGAGAGAGCAGCCAAAAUGAAUGAUUCUUUUGGUGGUGGCUCUUUGACUGCUUUACCAGUUAUAGAAACACAGGCUGGUGAUGUGUCUGCUUACAUUCCAACAAACAUCAUUUCCGUCAUUGAUGGACAGAUCUUCUUGGAAACAGAAUUGUUCUUCAAGGGUAUCCGCCCUGCCAUUAAUGUUGGUUUGUCUGUGUCUCGUGUUGGAUCUGCUGCCCAAACCAGGGCAAUGAAGCAGGUGGCAGGUACCAUGAAGCUGGAAUUGGCUCAAUAUCAUGAGGUUGUUUCUUUUGCCCAGUUUGGUUCUGACCUUGAUGUUGCCAUGCAACAAUUCUUGAGUCGUGGUGUGCAUUCAACUGUAUUGCUGAAGCAAGGACAAUAUGCUCCUAUGGCUAUUGAAGAACAAGUGGCUGUGAUCUAUGCAGGCAUAAGAGAGUAUCAAGAGAGUAUCUUGAUAAACUGGAGCCCAGCAAGACCACAAAGUUUGAGAAUGCUUUCUUGUCUCAUGUUGUCAGCCAACACCAAGCCCUGUUGGGCAUUAUCAGGGCUGAUGGAAAGAUCUUGGAAGAGUCAGAUGCAAGGCUGAAAGAGAUUGUAACAAACCUCUUGGCUGGAUUUGAAGUAUAAAUUGCUAUGGAUUUAUAUCAGCUACUGAUUUGGUUUUGUCAUUGUUUCUUCUAGUAAAUCAUUUUCAUUUGUAAAAGUAUUACUGUCAUACUCCCAUUGUACAUAAAUCACGUUAAAAAUAAAGGUUCC
Otolemur garnettii (small-eared galago) is the source of this 1873-nucleotide RNA transcript. It is a transcript of the gene named ATP synthase subunit alpha, mitochondrial pseudogene, with no coding region annotated. NCBI's taxonomy places the organism in Eukaryota, Metazoa, Chordata, Mammalia, Primates, Galagidae. The transcript has a single exon. The record is from RefSeq and is a predicted model, not a curated record.